GUUUCUUCUUCCCGUAAGGCGACCACCUUCAACCUAUCGAAGAUUAAUAUUUUUGUCGCCAUGUCGGGUAUACUGCGCAAGGGAGAGUGGAGUAAUGUGUACUGAGGAGGUGGAGGUUACGGGGCUUACAAGUUGGACUUAAAGCCCUCAAGAUUGGUGCAGAGGGCAGUGUCAGCAGGCAAGUUAAUGUUGGUAGGAUAGCCUGGUAUUCAGGAUAGCCUGGUAUUCAGCCCAGUUAGGCUGCCGUUCCCAGAGCACAUCUGGCAGUGUUGGGUCGCUGCAUUCGUGGGCAUCGCCUCGUGGACGGUCUGGAGGUUCUUUAUCAGGAGAAACCAGAAGCCAGAGUCAGGUGACUGGAGCAAGCUGGCCCAGAAGUAGCCAUAGAGUACACCAGAAAGUGCCACAUAUAGACUGACAGGACCGGCCUUUUUGGGGUCAAGGUUCACCAGAAAGGUCAAGGUCAAGGUCAAUACACAUUCUAAAGAUCCAAGGUCGACAGAAAGGAAGAGAAGAGUCAGCAUUUCGAUCCAACAUAAUUCAGAGGUCAUGGUUCAACAAACAUCAAAUAGCAAGGUCCAAGAUGUUUGGAGGUCAAGGUUCAAGGUGCAAAAUAUGGAGGAAAGGUGAAGGGUCAACAGUCAGAGGUCAGGGUGUAUAUAGGUAGGGAGGUGCAAUGAUACAAACCUGGACAUUCAGUCACGAGUUAUCUGUAUAAUUGGCAUAAAUGUGGAUGAUGACUUUUUCUGUUGUAUUUUUAAGUAAUUAAGUUAGUAAUUAUUUAUCUCAUUAUGACAGUGAAACAACUGUUUUCAACUGUGCCCUAUAUUUCUUCAUGCUCUCAGGCAACAAUAUCCAACGGCCAUGUGAUCAUGCCAUAUUCAGAAAGGUGCAGAUGAUAUAGCCUCCUUAGCAUGGUCUACAAGUCAGGCGAAAAUUGUGCAUUUUUUCUGAAUCUACAACAGUUCUCAUUGUAUUUGUUGUACUUGUUUUCCUGUGGGCUGCAACCUUUAACACACAAGAACCUACAUACACAGAACUGAUAUGCUACAUAAAAAAACAACCAUUUUAUAAAUACUUUUUAAGCCCAGAAAGCCUGACUUGUAUAGCCUAAUAAGGAGACUACAGAUUAUAAGUAGACAGUUGAGAAACUGUUUUCUGUAUUUUUGCCAAAUUUUGAGGCAUUUUUGUAGCCUUGAUGCCAUCUAUUUUGUAAUGAGGCCUCUUGCACUCACUGACCUGAGCUAGCAUUACUGUUUUUGAUGAAAACAACUUGUCCUAUGCAAUACACACAUAAAAGCAACUGAGCAGGCAUGCUAACAUAUGGAAAGUGUAGUCUCUACCAGACUAACUACGCUGGCUAUAUAUAGGAGAAUAUUUGCCAGGGGAGUUUGGCCGCCUUGUAGGUUUGACUGG
Molecule: long non-coding RNA, 1413 nt
Organism: Branchiostoma belcheri (Belcher's lancelet)
Lineage: Eukaryota; Metazoa; Chordata; Leptocardii; Amphioxiformes; Branchiostomatidae
Exons: 3
Source: RefSeq, a predicted model, not a curated record